UGCAUUGAAAACUUUUUAGAAUAUGUUACAUUGAUAGUUGUUUGCAUUGAAACCACUUUAGCAUAAUAGUGAAAUCUUGUUUGCAUUGAAACCUUUUUAACAUAUAAGUAAAACUUUGUUUGCAUUGAAAUCAUUUUCUACUCAUUUGCAUUGAAAACGUUUUAGCUAUGUUACAUUGAUAGUUGUUUGCAUUGAAAACACUUUAGCAUAAUAGUGAAAUCUUGUUUGAAUUGAAAACCUUUCAGCAUAUAAGUGAAACCUUGUUUGCAUUGAAAUCAUUUUAUACUCAUUUGCAUUGAAAACAUUUUAGCAUAUGUUACAUUGAUAGUUGUUUAAAUUGAAACCAAUUUAGCAUAAUAGUGAAAUCUUGUUUGAAUUGAAAACCUUUCAGCAUAUAAGUGAAACCUUGUUUGCAUUGAAAUCAUUUUAUACUCAUUUGUAUUGAAAACGUUUUAGUAUAUGUUACAUUGAAAAUAAUUUAGCAUAAUAGUGAAAUCUUGUUUGCAUUUAAACAUUUUUAGCAUAUAAGUGAAACUUUGUUUGCAUUGAAAUCAUUUUAUAGUCAUUUGCAUUGAGAACUUUUUAGCUAUGUUACAUUGAUAGUUGUUUGCAUUGAAAACACUUUAGCAUAAUAGUGAAAUCUUGUUUGCAUUUAAACAUUUUUAGCAUAUAAGUGAAACUUUGUUUGCAUUGAAAUCAUUUUCUACUCAUUUGCAUUGAAAACAUUUUAGCAUAUGUUACAUUGAUAGUUGUUUCCAUUGAAAACACUUUAGCAUAAUAGUGAAAUCUUGAUUGCAUUGAAACCUUUUUAGCAUAUAAGUGAAACCUUGUUUACAUUGAAAUCAUUUUAUAGUCAUUUGCAUUGAAAACUUUUUAGCUAUGUUACAUUGAUAGUUGUUUGCAUUGAAACCUUGUUAGCAUAUAAGUGAAACCUUGUUUGCAUUGAAAUCAUUUUGUACUCAUUUGCAUUGAAAACUUUUUAGCAUAUGUUACAUUGUUCGUUGUUUGCAUUGAAA
Molecule: long non-coding RNA, 1016 nt
Filed under: Lotus japonicus
Lineage: Eukaryota; Viridiplantae; Streptophyta; Magnoliopsida; Fabales; Fabaceae
Description: long non-coding RNA (LJAP_LNC001399)
Source: RNAcentral